Podarcis lilfordi (Lilford's wall lizard) is the source of this 74-nucleotide non-coding RNA. NCBI's taxonomy places the organism in Eukaryota, Metazoa, Chordata, Lepidosauria, Squamata, Lacertidae. The record is from the annotation of a GenBank genome assembly.
GACUGCAUGGCUCAGAGGUGAGAGCACUGGUCUUGUAAACCAGGGGUCACAAGUUUGAUCCUUGGCUGGGGGCU